UACAGAGGGUGCAAGCGUUAAUCGGAAUUACUGGGCGUAAAGCGUGCGUAGACGGUUACAUAAGUCGGGCGUGAAAGCCCCGGGCUCAACCUGGGAAUUGCAUUCGAGACUGCGUAGCUAGGGUGCGGAAGAGGGAAGCGGAAUUUCCGGUGUAGCGGUGAAAUGCGUAGAUAUCGGAAGGAACACCAGUGGCGAAAGCGGCUUCCUGGUCCAGCACCGACGUUCAGGCACGAAAGCGUGGGGAGCAAACAGG
This 253-nucleotide ribosomal RNA is filed under the name uncultured bacterium. RNAcentral describes it as "partial 16S ribosomal RNA". It matches the Rfam family "Bacterial small subunit ribosomal RNA", at positions 524 to 776 of the family's 1533-position model. The record is from RNAcentral.